CAGUAUUGAUACCAAAGUGCAGCCUUUGUCUGUGCAGUUGCUGUAUGACUGCUGGACUUUGUUUUUCCUGUAGCAGAGCGAUAGCAGGGAAGGCCAGCAAGGAGCAGCAGCAGCUGCAAGGGGUGCAAAGUUCUGGAGUGUGACAGAGCCUUGGCAGCAGCGGCUGGUGCUUGUUUUCCCUCACUUUUGGUGGAAAAGUGUGUCAAUGGAUGUCAAGUUCUGCCAAUCUGGUGCACCAAAGCAGAAGGACCAGAGAUACAUCUGACAUGUUUAAUCACCAGCUACAGCCAGACUAACACAAUUCCCAGGGAAGUGGAAAAAGCCAAACUGAGCAAUAAGAAAAGGAGAAGGUACCCCUAGCUCUUGCGGUCAUCUGUAGAACAGGAAAUGUCACUCUGGUGUUAUG
This 406-nucleotide long non-coding RNA is filed under the name Coturnix japonica (Japanese quail). RNAcentral describes it as "lncRNA (ENSCJPG00005000106.1)". The record is from RNAcentral. Lineage: Eukaryota; Metazoa; Chordata; Aves; Galliformes; Phasianidae.